Molecule: non-coding RNA, 202 nt
Organism: Pelobates cultripes (western spadefoot toad)
Lineage: Eukaryota; Metazoa; Chordata; Amphibia; Anura; Pelobatidae
Source: the annotation of a GenBank genome assembly
CAAGAAUUAAUGCCUCUUUUUAUGUAUGAGAAUAUAUUACUGGCCAUAGCAAUAGGUAUUGUUAGCUAGUUUGCUAUCAAUAACAAUUCCCAAACUUGUGUUAUUUUCCCUAUCUUGCUGACAUGGAAGGUGUAUGUUGUUAAUGCAUUCUUCAGCCCAAAGUGCAUAACUUUGCAUUGAUCUACAUUAAGGUGAAAAGUCC